Molecule: long non-coding RNA, 151 nt
Organism: Anguilla rostrata (American eel)
Lineage: Eukaryota; Metazoa; Chordata; Actinopteri; Anguilliformes; Anguillidae
Exons: 3
Source: RefSeq, a predicted model, not a curated record
UGCAUGUGUUGUCGUGUCUGUAUGUGUGCACGCACGUGUGUGUGUGUGUGUGUGAGGUGUGCGCGUGCGAGUGAGAGGUGUGCAUGUGUUGUUGUGUGCGUGUGUGUGUGUGUGGAGCUCACAGUGCGACAGGGGGCAGCGUGUGUGUGUG